AUUGAACGCUGGCGGCAGGCCUAACACAUGCAAGUCGAGCGGCUGCAGAGUGGUUGCUCCUGGAUUCAGGGGCGGAGUGGUGGAUGGUGCCUAGAUACAUCGCAGUCCGUUGGGGAUCAGGUCCGAAUACCGGCGCCAUUACCCUAUACGUCCAUAGGCCGUAAGUGGGUGAGCUUCGGAUCUCUCGCCAUCAUGCGAGCCAAGGUCGGAUUAGCUAGUUGGCUGGGUAACGGCCUACCAAGGCGCCGAGCCGUAACUCGUCCGAGAGGAUGAUCAGUCACACGGGAACUGAGACAGGGUCCAGACUCCUACGGGAAGCAGCAGUGGGGAAUAUUGGACAAUGGGCGAAAGCCUGAUCCAGCAAUGCCGAGUGUGUGAAGAAGGACUUAGGAUUGUAAAGCACUUUAAGUUGGAAGGAAGGGCAGUAAGUUAAGAUCUUGCUGUUAUGACGUUACCAACAGAAUAGGCACCGGCUAACUUCGUG
Molecule: ribosomal RNA, 484 nt
Filed under: uncultured bacterium
Lineage: Bacteria
Description: partial 16S ribosomal RNA
Rfam family: Bacterial small subunit ribosomal RNA
Source: RNAcentral